RNAcentral lists this ribosomal RNA (662 nucleotides) under Amylocystis lapponica. RNAcentral describes it as "eukaryotic LSU rRNA". The stretch from base 231 to 381 matches the Rfam family "5.8S ribosomal RNA". Lineage: Eukaryota; Fungi; Basidiomycota; Agaricomycetes; Polyporales; Postiaceae. The record is from RNAcentral.
UUUAGAGGAAGUAAAAGUCGUAACAAGGUUUCCGUAGGUGAACCUGCGGAAGGAUCAUUAUUGAAAUUUUGAAAGGAGUUGUUGCUGGCCCUUUGGGGCAUGUGCACGCUUCGGUUCAAUCCAUCUUCACCCCUGUGCACCCUUUGUAGUUGGCCGCGAGGCCUUCCUAUGUUUUAUCUAUAAACUCUUAUUGUCAUCGAAUGUCAUAGCGUAUAACGCAUCUUUAAUACAACUUUCAGCAACGGAUUCUUGGCUCUCGCAUCGAUGAAGAACGCAGCGAAAUGCGAUAAGUAAUGGAAUUGCAGAAUUCAGUGAAUCAUCGAAUCUUUGAACGCACCUUGCGCUCUUGGUAUUCCGAGGAGCAUGCCUGUUUGAGUGUCAUGGAAAUAUCAACCUUCUGUCUUUAUUGACAAGUGAGGGCUUGGACUUGGAGGUUUUUUUUGUGGUCUCAUUUUAAUUUUGAGUCGGCUCCUCUUGAAUGAAUUAGCUUGACCUUUGCGGAUCAGCUGCUCGGUGUGAUAAUUGUCUACGCCGUCAACUGGAGGCCCUUUGUUGGUUUGUGGUCAGGCUUCCAAUCGAUCGUCUUGUGAGAGACAUCAACCUUUUUAUGACCUUUGACCUCAAAUCAGGCAGGAUUACCGCUGAACUUAAGCAUAUCAAUA